GUCAACCCGGUUCUUGAUGCGCUACCUAAUUUAAGCUUUGUGGUUCAAGGAUACGAAGCGGUACGCAAAGAUAGGAAUGAAGGAAAUGGAGGGGGAGUAAUAACAUUCAUUAAAUUAGGAGUAGCAUAUAGGGAGGUUAAAGUGAAUGAGGAAUACGAGGCAGUAGUGAUUGACGUAAGAACUGGUAAUCAGAAUAUAAGAUUUAUUAAUUUUUAUAAUCCGUGUAAAAGAUUAAAUAAAGAUCUGCUGAAAAAUAUUGGAGGAGAGGGUAAUUUUAACAUGGUGUGGUGUGGUGAUUUUAAUGCUCAGAGUACUUUGUGGGGAAGUGCAAAUAAUGACCAAAAUGGGAAUGUGAUAGAAGAAAUAUUAGACUGUAGUGACCUAGUGUGCCUAAAUAACGGGAGUAUAACAAGAUUAGAUGUAGUUAGAGGAAGUAAUUCAGUGUUAGAUUUAACUAUUGUAUCUAAUAAUUUAGCCAGGCAAUGUGAAUGGGAAGUUUUGGAUCAUAGUAAUAUGGGAAGUGAUCAUUAUCCUAUAAAAUGUAGUAUAGGGAUAGAAACUGAAGUAUGCCAAGAGGAGAAAAUUCCCAGAUGGAGGUUUAAAGCUGCAGAUUGGGAUAAGUUCAAAGAUGUAUGUGAAGGUAAAAUGAUAAGUACACAAUUUAGUUUUGAAGAUGUAGAGGAUGUGAAUAAUAAAAUAAAUAUGAUUCUGUGUAGUUCAGCACAAGAGAUAAUAGGGAAAAGUAAAGGGGCAAGAAUGAAAAAGGCUGUACCAUGGUGGACAGAAAAAUGUAGUGAAGUAAUUAAAACCAGAAACAGAGCUUUAAGAAAAGUAAAAAAAUCUCAUUCUUUUGAUGAUUUUAUAAAUUACAAGAGAACUCAAGCAGUGGUAAGAAAAGUAAUAAGGACAACUAAAAUAAAUUACUGGAGACAAUUCUGUGAUGAAAUUGGUGUAAAUGUAGAUAUAAGUGAUAUGUGGAAUAUGGUUAGGAAGAUGGGUGGGAAACAGAUGUAUAAAAGUAUUCCAGUUUUAAUAAAAGAGGGUAG
RNAcentral lists this long non-coding RNA (1046 nucleotides) under Sinocyclocheilus anshuiensis. Its description in RNAcentral is "lncRNA (ENSSANG00000037636.1)". Lineage: Eukaryota; Metazoa; Chordata; Actinopteri; Cypriniformes; Cyprinidae. The record is from RNAcentral.